Molecule: ribosomal RNA, 816 nt
Filed under: uncultured bacterium
Lineage: Bacteria
Description: bacterial SSU rRNA
Rfam family: Bacterial small subunit ribosomal RNA
Source: RNAcentral
AGACGAACGCUGGCGGCGUGCCUAACACAUGCAAGUCGAACGAAGCUUGACGGAUGAUUUCUUCGGAAUGAAACCAGAUAUGACUUAGUGGCGGACGGGUGAGUAACACGUGAGCAACCUGCCUUUCAGAGGGGGAUAACGGCUGGAAACGGUCGCUAAUACCGCAUGAUGUGUUCGGAUGGCAUCAUCUGAACAUCAAAGAUUUAUCGCUGAAAGAUGGGCUCGCGUCUGAUUAGAUAGUUGGUGGGGUAACGGCCUACCAAGUCUACGAUCAGUAGCCGGACUGAGAGGUUGAACGGCCACAUUGGGACUGAGAUACGGCCCAGACUCCUACGGGAGGCAGCAGUGGGGAAUAUUGCACAAUGGGGGAAACCCUGAUGCAGCAACGCCGCGUGAAGGAUGACGGUUUUCGGAUUGUAAACUUCUUUUCUUAGUGACGAAGACAGUGACGGUAGCUAAGGAAUAAGCAUCGGCUAACUACGUGCCAGCAGCCGCGGUAAUACGUAGGAUGCAAGCGUUAUCCGGAUUUACUGGGUGUAAAGGGAGCGCAGGCGGGACUGCAAGUUGGAUGUGAAAUACCGUGGCUUAACCACGGAACUGCAUCCAAAACUGUAGUUCUUGAGUGAAGUAGAGGCAAGCGGAAUUCCGAGUGUAGCGGUGAAAUGCGUAGAUAUUCGGAGGAACACCAGUGGCGAAGGCGGCUUGCUGGACUUUAACUGACGCUGAGGCUCGAAAGUGUGGGGAGCAAACAGGAUUAGAUACCCUGGUAGUCCACACUGUAAACGAUGAUAGCUAGGUGUGGGGGGUCUGACCCCU